CAGGAGUGGAAGCAAAGUAUAGCUCUGAAAAGAGCUAAGUGAUUAAGCUGCAUAGAUUCCCCUUUCAAGAACGAGACGAGGCUACGUUUUGAAGGGUCAAGAAGAACUGAGGAUUUAUUGACAGACACUCUCUUUUAUGCGAUUCUGCCCAUGCAAGGGAGACACCCACAUAAUUAGCAGUACAACCAAUCCAUACAAUAUACAU
Molecule: non-coding RNA, 205 nt
Organism: Pelobates cultripes (western spadefoot toad)
Lineage: Eukaryota; Metazoa; Chordata; Amphibia; Anura; Pelobatidae
Source: the annotation of a GenBank genome assembly